GCCCGGAUGGCGGAACUGGUAGACGCGCAUGGUUCAGGUCCAUGUCUCCACUAGGAGGUGCAGGUUCAAUUCCUGUUCCGGGCA
This 84-nucleotide transfer RNA is filed under the name Fidelibacterota bacterium. RNAcentral's name for it is "tRNA-Leu". It matches the Rfam family "tRNA". From Rfam's summary of the family: Transfer RNA (tRNA) molecules are approximately 80 nucleotides in length. Their secondary structure includes four short double-helical elements and three loops (D, anti-codon, and T loops). Lineage: Bacteria; Pseudomonadati; Fidelibacterota. The record is from RNAcentral.